Molecule: transfer RNA, 72 nt
Filed under: Marmota monax (woodchuck)
Lineage: Eukaryota; Metazoa; Chordata; Mammalia; Rodentia; Sciuridae
Description: tRNA.Ala
Source: RNAcentral
GGGGUUGUGGCUCAGAGGUAGAGCGCUCCGCCUAGCAUGUGUGAGGCACUGGGUUCGAUCCUCAGCACCACA